Molecule: ribosomal RNA, 302 nt
Filed under: uncultured bacterium
Lineage: Bacteria
Description: partial 16S ribosomal RNA
Rfam family: Bacterial small subunit ribosomal RNA
Source: RNAcentral
GCAGUAGCCACGGUAAAACGUAGGUGGCAAGCGUAGUCCGGAAUUAUUGGGCGUAAAGGGCUCGCAGGCGGUUUCUUAAGUCUGAUGUGAAAGCCCCCGGCUCAACCGGGGAGGGUCAUUGGAAACUGGGAAACUUGAGUGCAGAAGAGGAGAGUGGAAUUCCACGUGUAGCGGUGAAAUGCGUAGAGAUGUGGAGGAACACCAGUGGCGAAGGCGACUCUCUGGUCUGUAACUGACGCUGAGGAGCGAAAGCGUGGGGAGCGAACAGGAUUAGAUACCCCCGUAGUCCCUGUCUCUUAUAC